RNAcentral lists this ribosomal RNA (244 nucleotides) under Butyrivibrio sp. YAB3001. RNAcentral's name for it is "16S rRNA. Bacterial SSU". It matches the Rfam family "Bacterial small subunit ribosomal RNA", at positions 19 to 243 of the family's 1533-position model. The record is from RNAcentral. Lineage: Bacteria; Bacillati; Bacillota; Clostridia; Lachnospirales; Lachnospiraceae.
CUGGCUCAGGAUGAACGCUGGCGGCGUGCCUAACACAUGCAAGUCGAACGGAUUUUGCUCGCAGCAGAGACUUCGGUCGAAGCUUGAGUAAAGUUAGUGGCGGACGGGUGAGUAACGCGUGGGCAACCUGCCUCAUACUGGGGGAUAACAGUUGGAAACGACUGUUAAUACCGCAUAAGCGCACAGUGUCGCAUGACACAGUGUGAAAAACUCCGGUGGUAUGAGAUGGGCCCGCGUCAGAUUA